AGACGUUGAUGGGAAAUGGCUGACAGCAGGAUAAACAAGCAGCUCCCUUUUUGGUGAGCUUCAGGGGAAUCAGGUGGACAGAAUCAAGGCUUCAGCCCUAAAGAUGAGAAUUUAAGCUGGAUCUCCUAGAGGAGUUGGGAUCAAGUCUAUGUACUUGGAGAAUACAAGAGAAGGACCCAGCUGGGUGUGGUGGCUCACACCUGUAAUCCCAGCACUUUGGGAGGCCGAGGCGGGCGGAUUACCUGAGGUCAUGAGCCCCAGACCAGACUGGCCAACAUGGCGAAACGCUGUCUCUACUAAAAAUACAAAAAUUAGCCUGGCAUGGUGGUGCACACCUGUAAUCCCACCUACUCAGGAGUCUGAGGCAGGAGAAUCACUUGAACCCAGGAGGCAGAGGUUGCAGUGAGCCAAGAUUGCACCACUACACUCCAGCCUCGGUGACAGGGUGAGACUCUGUCUCAAAAAAAAAAAAAGAGAGAGAGAGAAGGA
This 489-nucleotide long non-coding RNA is filed under the name Homo sapiens (human). RNAcentral's name for it is "non-protein coding lnc-SCLT1-2:4". The record is from RNAcentral. Lineage: Eukaryota; Metazoa; Chordata; Mammalia; Primates; Hominidae.